Molecule: ribosomal RNA, 56 nt
Filed under: Elaeis oleifera (American oil palm)
Lineage: Eukaryota; Viridiplantae; Streptophyta; Magnoliopsida; Arecales; Arecaceae
Description: partial 26S ribosomal RNA
Source: RNAcentral
GCGACCCCAGGUCAGGCGGGAACACCCGCUGAAUUUAAGCAUAAAGGGCGAAUUCG